GAUGAACGCUGGCGGCGUGCCUAAUACAUGCAAGUCGAGCGAACAGACGAGGAGCUUGCUCCUCUGACGUUAGCGGCGGACGGGUGAGUCACACGUGGAUAACCUACCUAUCAGACUGGGAUCACUUCGGGAAACCGGAGCUUAUACCGGAUAAUAUACUGAACCGCAUGGUUCAUUAGUGAAAGACGGUUUUGCUGUCACUUAUAGCUGGAUCCGCGCCGCAUUAGCUAGUUGGUAAGGUAACGGCUUACCACGGCAACGAUGCGUAGCCGACCUGAGAGAGGGAUCGGCCACACGGGAACUGGGACAGGGUCCAGACUACUGCGGGAGGCAGCAGUAGGGAAUCUUCCGCAGUGGGCGGAAGCCUGGCGGAGCGACGCCGCGUGAGAGAAGAAGAUGUUCGGAUCGUAAAACUCUGUUAUUAGGGAAGAACAAAUGUGUAAGUAACUAUGCACGUCUUGACGGUACCUAAUCAGAAAGCCACGGCUAACUACGUG
RNAcentral lists this ribosomal RNA (497 nucleotides) under uncultured bacterium. Its description in RNAcentral is "partial 16S ribosomal RNA". It matches the Rfam family "Bacterial small subunit ribosomal RNA", at positions 28 to 507 of the family's 1533-position model. The record is from RNAcentral.